AUAUUAUUUUUGGAUCUUUACAAGAAAAUCUGUAGUAAAAACGAGCACAAAUUUUAUCCUCAUCCUAAUCCAUCCAGAUUGCGAGGAUAAAUGAAGAGAAUUUCAUGAACAAAAACAUACCUUUCUGACGAUUUAACUAUGCGACUUCAAGUAUAUGAUGCAUUCCAACAAACUUUCAGAACAAACAAGAAAAUGCAACAAUAAUUGAAGUAAGAUAAAAAGAAAAGAAGAGGCGAGAUUAUGGAUCGGAGUGUUAGAAUUGCUUCACAGCCGAAUCAUAACCAAACAACAUUCCCAUAAACUUCACCACAAGCCACAAACUAUACAUACAUACAAUCGUUGUGGAGAGGGAAUCCCAUCCAAAACUGGACUUACGAAGUAAGAGAGAGAGAGAGAGACUGAGAGAGAGAGGAACUUUUGUAGGAUGGAUAUAUUUAGUGAACGGUACAAGUAGAAGCCAGUUCUCAAAUAGUGCAAAUCCAGUUUUAGUGUGAAAACAAGGGGCACGGUGAUCUGGGCGCGGGUUGAUCCGAAGGACGAGACGUCACCGUUUAAGGCGAGCACUGUACACGGUGGACAUGUCCCGUUUCACUCACCAAUGGUCAAUAGUGUGCGUAGUUACUGCUAGUGCCGCGCUCAUUAACGAAAUUCUGUCAAACCCUCCCAAGAAAACACCCUGGUAAAAAUUUUAGAGAGAGGGAUCAGGAAGCUUCAAUCCACAGGUAUGCAUUUUUGUUCGUGUUAAUUUUUGCGCAUUUUCAUCAUAUUUCUUUCUGUACGUACCUUUCUCUUGUUAUCUUGACGCUAAUAGGGGAAAUACAUCAAAAUAGUCUAAAUAAAA
RNAcentral lists this long non-coding RNA (841 nucleotides) under Olea europaea subsp. europaea. Lineage: Eukaryota; Viridiplantae; Streptophyta; Magnoliopsida; Lamiales; Oleaceae. The record is from RNAcentral.